GAGGAAGAUUUGAAUUUAGAACCAGAAUUGGUAGAAUCCAUAUUAGAUAAUGCAAUAAAUGAUCAAUUGGAUGGACUAGAGGAAAUAGUAACUUUGUAGAAUUUUGUUAAGUAGUUUUUAGAUAAGUAACAAUUGUAUGUUUGCGAGGACGCUGCACAGAUAGGAGUAGGACUAUGUAGAAUAGAUAUUAAUUUGUUUCCAUAAGAUAUUGAUAAAAUACACUAAUAGUCUAUAGAAUAGUCAGUUUAAGAGGACGGAUGGUUAACUUAUUAAUUAAAAGCGGUUAUUUACAAGAUUACAAUUAGAAUCUAAGAAUAGGGAGUAAGUAUAUAGGAGUUGUAGAAGUUAGUUUGAGUGCCAGAUUGUGAUAGUCAUGAGCAGGGGUAAGCUUAGUGCUACUUCUUUGUUUCUUUAUUUUUUUGUUUUUGAAAAGUAAUGGAUAGUUUUUGAAUACUGAGAAGUCAGUCUGUGGAAUAAAUUAGAGAUUGAUUUAUGAAUUAUUAAUUAUGUAAUUAGAACAUUGAGUGAUUGAAUUGUAUGAGGAGUUAUUGAAAGAUUAUGAUUGUUGUUUAUUGAGAGCUGUGUAUAUUUUGAUAGAGGAAGUCUAUGAUUACAAAAAUUAUGUGAAUUGAGAUUGAUUGGAGUGAAGUCUAUUAUUUCUUGUGUUAGAUGAAAUUAUUGUGUUUUGAGUGGUCUUUUGAGAGUGCAUGGUUACACAAUGUUGUUAUCAGUUGAUGAAGAAAUAUUGUUACUGGGAGAAAGCAUUGUAGUAUCUUUUGGUAUUUUAGUGGUUUGGAAUAUGAUUAAUUGUGUGAUCUUAAUAAGUAAAAUUCAUGCACUUAGUCUUUUCUU
Molecule: long non-coding RNA, 852 nt
Filed under: Physcomitrium patens
Lineage: Eukaryota; Viridiplantae; Streptophyta; Bryopsida; Funariales; Funariaceae
Description: long non-coding RNA (PPAT_LNC010726)
Source: RNAcentral